RNAcentral lists this ribosomal RNA (388 nucleotides) under uncultured bacterium. RNAcentral describes it as "bacterial SSU rRNA". It matches the Rfam family "Bacterial small subunit ribosomal RNA", at positions 30 to 419 of the family's 1533-position model. The record is from RNAcentral.
AUUGAACGCUGGCGGCAUGCUUUACACAUGCAAGUCGAACGGUAACAGGCCGCAAGGUGCUGACGAGUGGCGAACGGGUGAGUAAUGUAUCGGAACGUGCCCAGUCGUGGGGGAUAACGCAGCGAAAGCUGCGCUAAUACCGCAUACGAUCUAUGGAUGAAAGCGGGGGACCGUAAGGCCUCGCGCGAUUGGAGCGGCCGAUAUCAGAUUAGGUAGUUGGUGGGGGUAAAGGCUCACCAAGCCAACGAUCUGUAGCUGGUCUGAGAGGACGACCAGCCACACUGGGACUGAGACACGGCCCAGACUCCUACGGGAGGCAGCAGUGGGGAAUUUUGGACAAUGGGCGCAAGCCUGAUCCAGCAAUGCCGCGUGCAGGAAGAAGGCCUUC